Molecule: ribosomal RNA, 253 nt
Filed under: uncultured bacterium
Lineage: Bacteria
Description: partial 16S ribosomal RNA
Rfam family: Bacterial small subunit ribosomal RNA
Source: RNAcentral
UACGGGGGGGGCAAGCGUUUUUCGGAAUUACUGGGCGUAAAGGGCGCGUAGGCGGGUGGACAAGACUCUCGUGAAAGCCCACGGCUCAACCGUGGAAUUGCGGGAGAUACUGUCUGUCUUGAGUCCGGGAGAGGAGGGUGGAAUUCCCAGUGUAGCGGUUGAAUGCGUAGAUAUUGGGAGGAACACCGGUGGCGAAGGCGGCUCUCUGGACCGGUACUGACGCUGAGGCGCGAAAGCUAGGGGAGCAAACGGG